GAUGUCAUGCAGGCAAGAUGGCGGAAGGGGAGGACGUGGGAUGGUGGCGGAGCUGGCUGCAGCAGAGCUACCAAGCAGUCAAAGAGAAGUCCUCUGAAGCCUUGGAGUUUAUGAAGCGGGACCUGACGGAGUUUACCCAGGUGGUGCAGCAUGACACGGCUUGUACCAUCGCAGCCACGGCCAGCGUGGUCAAGGAGAAGCUGGCUGUGAGUACCACCCAAACCCUCCCAAGUAACUGCCCCUCGCAACCUGUCCUGUCCUGGGCUCCCAACCUUUCUACCAUUAAGUGAUUAUUUUUCCAUAUGGGGAAAAAUAUGUGGAUUACUUUUCCUCCCAUUUUGAAAGAAUUGUGUCUGGCAACCAAACAAGCUGCAUAUUUUAAGUAAUAAUUAGUUUUCCCACUUCUGUAUUGUUUUAGCAAAUGUUUUCCAUUAGCAAAGUCAUUCAUGUUGACAAUUCAGAAAACACAGACAAGUGAAAGAAAAGAGAAAGAAUGAGAAAAGGAAGAGAGAGAGAGAGACCUAGAGACAUCCAUAAUUCCAUCUUCCAAAGAUAGCUACUG
This 562-nucleotide small RNA is filed under the name Pan troglodytes (chimpanzee). RNAcentral describes it as "retained intron". The record is from RNAcentral. Lineage: Eukaryota; Metazoa; Chordata; Mammalia; Primates; Hominidae.